RNAcentral lists this unclassified non-coding RNA (241 nucleotides) under rhizosphere metagenome. RNAcentral describes it as "partial ribosomal RNA internal transcribed spacer region". The record is from RNAcentral.
GUAGGUGAACCUGCGGAAGGAUCAUUAUCGAGUUAGGGUUCCUUCUAGGGCCCGAUCUCCAACCCUGUGUCUACCUUACCACUGUUGCUUCGGCGGGCCCGUCUUAAUUGACCGCCGGAGGACCGCAAGGUCUUCUGGCCCGCGUCCGUCGAUGGCCAACCACAAAUUCUUGAUGAAUAGUGUCGUCUAAGUAUAAAAAGUAAAUAAACAAAAACUUUCAACAACGGAUCUCUUGGUUCUG